This 524-nucleotide ribosomal RNA is filed under the name uncultured Klebsiella sp. Its description in RNAcentral is "bacterial SSU rRNA". It matches the Rfam family "Bacterial small subunit ribosomal RNA", at positions 505 to 1033 of the family's 1533-position model. The record is from RNAcentral. Lineage: Bacteria; Pseudomonadati; Pseudomonadota; Gammaproteobacteria; Enterobacterales; Enterobacteriaceae.
GUGCCAGCAGCUGCGGUAAUACGGAGGGUGCAAGCGUUAAUCGGAAUUACUGGGCGUAAAGCGCACGCAGGCGGUCUGUCAAGUCGGAUGUGAAAUCCCCGGGCUCAACCCGGGAACUGCAUUCGAAACUGGCAGGCUUGAGUCUCGUAGAGGGGGUAGAAUUCCAGGUGUAGCGGUGAAAUGCGUAGAGAUCUGGAGGAAUACCGGUGGCGAAGGCGGCCCCCUGGACGAAGACUGACGCUCAGGUGCGAAAGCGUGGGGAGCAAACAGGAUUAGAUACCCUGGUAGUCCACGCCGUAAACGAUGUCGAUUUGGAGUUGUGCCCUUGAGGCGUGGCUUCCGGAGCUAACGCGUUAAAUCGACCGCCUGGGGAGUACGGCCGCAAGGUUAAAACUCAAAUGAAUUGACGGGGCCGCACAAGCGGUGGAGCAUGUGGUUUAAUUCGACGCAACGCGAAGAACCUUACCUGGUCUUGACAUCCACAGAACUUAGCAGAGAUGCUUGGUGCCUUCGGGAACUGUGAG